CCAGCAGCCGCGGUAAUUCCAGCUCCAAUAGCGUAUACUAAAGUUGUUGCAGUUAAAAAGCUCGUAGUUGAAUUUCUGGUCGUGGCAAUCGGUCAGCCCCUCACGGGGUUCGUACCAGGUUGCUGCGUCCAUCCUCGGGGAGAGCACAUCGGGCAUUCAGUUGUCUGGUGUGGGAUCCUCGUCAUUUACUGUGAGCAAAAUAGAGUGUUCAAAGCAGGCUUAGGCCGUUGAAUACAUUAGCAUGGAAUAAUAAGAUAGGACCUUGGUCUAUUUUGUUGGUUUGCGUUCCAAGGUAAUGAUUAAUAGGGAUAGUUGGGGGUAUUCGUAUUCAAUUGUCAGAGGUG
RNAcentral lists this ribosomal RNA (344 nucleotides) under uncultured eukaryote. RNAcentral's name for it is "SSU rRNA". It matches the Rfam family "Eukaryotic small subunit ribosomal RNA", at positions 567 to 913 of the family's 1831-position model. The record is from RNAcentral.